This 519-nucleotide ribosomal RNA is filed under the name Fusarium acuminatum. RNAcentral's name for it is "eukaryotic LSU rRNA". The stretch from base 155 to 308 matches the Rfam family "5.8S ribosomal RNA". The record is from RNAcentral. Lineage: Eukaryota; Fungi; Ascomycota; Sordariomycetes; Hypocreales; Nectriaceae. RNAcentral also lists the same sequence under 3 other names.
UUACCGAGUUUACAACUCCCAAACCCCUGUGAACAUACCUUAAUGUUGCCUCGGCGGAUCAGCCCGCGCCCCGUAAAACGGGACGGCCCGCCAGAGGACCCAAACUCUAAUGUUUCUUAUUGUAACUUCUGAGUAAAACAAACAAAUAAAUCAAAACUUUCAACAACGGAUCUCUUGGUUCUGGCAUCGAUGAAGAACGCAGCAAAAUGCGAUAAGUAAUGUGAAUUGCAGAAUUCAGUGAAUCAUCGAAUCUUUGAACGCACAUUGCGCCCGCUGGUAUUCCGGCGGGCAUGCCUGUUCGAGCGUCAUUUCAACCCUCAAGCCCCCGGGUUUGGUGUUGGGGAUCGGCUCUGCCUUCUGGCGGUGCCGCCCCCGAAAUACAUUGGCGGUCUCGCUGCAGCCUCCAUUGCGUAGUAGCUAACACCUCGCAACUGGAACGCGGCGCGGCCAUGCCGUAAAACCCCAACUUCUGAAUGUUGACCUCGGAUCAGGUAGGAAUACCCGCUGAACUUAAGCAUA